AGUCACUGACAUUAGAUACCCGGGUAGUCCAGGGUGUAAACGCUGCAGACUUGGUGUUGGAAGCCCGUUUGGGGGCAUUCAGUGCCGGAGAGAAGUUGUUAAGUCUGCUACGUUGGGGAGUACGUCCGCAAGGAUGAAACUUAAAGGAGUUGGCGGGGGAGCACCGCAACGGGAGGAGCGUGCGGUUUAAUUGGAUUCAACACCGUAAACUCACCAGGGAAGACUGUUACAUGAAGGCCGAGAUGAAGACUCUGCUAGAUUUUCAG
RNAcentral lists this ribosomal RNA (266 nucleotides) under uncultured archaeon. RNAcentral's name for it is "partial 16S ribosomal RNA". It matches the Rfam family "Archaeal small subunit ribosomal RNA", at positions 719 to 982 of the family's 1478-position model. The record is from RNAcentral.